Molecule: ribosomal RNA, 292 nt
Filed under: uncultured bacterium
Lineage: Bacteria
Description: partial 16S ribosomal RNA
Source: RNAcentral
GGACUACCGGGGUAUCUAAUCCUGUUUGCUCCCCUUGCUCUCGCGCCUCAGCGUCAGGUAUAAGUUAGAAAAUCGCUUUCGCCACCGGUGUUCUUCCACAUAUCUACGCAUUUCACCGCUACACGUGGAAUUCCAUUUUCUCCACCAAUCCUCGAGACAAGAAGUUUUAAGUGCAGCUCCGAAGUUGAGCUUCGGAAUUUCACACUUAACUUUCCUAUCCGCCUACGCGCCCUUUACGCCCAAUAAAUCCGAUUAAUGCUUGCACCCUCCGUAUUACCGCGGCUGCUGGCAC